This 1458-nucleotide ribosomal RNA is filed under the name Cyanobium sp. JJ9-C6. RNAcentral describes it as "16S ribosomal RNA". It matches the Rfam family "Bacterial small subunit ribosomal RNA". The record is from RNAcentral. Lineage: Bacteria; Bacillati; Cyanobacteriota; Cyanophyceae; Synechococcales; Prochlorococcaceae.
GAUGAACGCUGGCGGCGUGCUUAACACAUGCAAGUCGAACGAACCUUCGGGUCAGUGGCGGACGGGUGAGUAACGCGUGAGAAUCUGCCCUCAGGAGGGGGAUAACGGCUGGAAACGGCCGCUAAUACCCCAUAUGCCGAGAGGUGAAAUGAAUUUCGCCUGAGGAUGAGCUCGCGUCUGAUUAGCUAGUUGGUAGGGUAAAGGCCUACCCAAGGCUUCGAUCAGUAGCUGGUCUGAGAGGAUGAUCAGCCACACUGGGACUGAGACACGGCCCAGACUCCUACGGGAGGCAGCAGUGGGGAAUUUUCCGCAAUGGGCGAAAGCCUGACGGAGCAACGCCGCGUGAGGGAUGAAGGCCUCUGGGCUGUAAACCUCUUUUAUCAAGGAAGAAGAUCUGACGGUACUUGAUGAAUAAGCCACGGCUAAUUCCGUGCCAGCAGCCGCGGUAAUACGGGAGUGGCAAGCGUUAUCCGGAAUUAUUGGGCGUAAAGCGUCCGCAGGCGGUCUUACAAGUCUGUCGUUAAAGCGUGGAGCUUAACUCCAUUUCAGCGAUGGAAACUGUAAGACUNGAGUGUGGUAGGGGCAGAGGGAAUUCCCGGUGUAGCGGUGAAAUGCGUAGAUAUCGGGAAGAACACCAGUGGCGAAGGCGCUCUGCUGGGCCAUAACUGACGCUCAUGGACGAAAGCCAGGGGAGCGAAAGGGAUUAGAUACCCCUGUAGUCCUGGCCGUAAACGAUGAACACUAGGUGUCGGGGGAAUCGACCCCCUCGGUGUCGUAGCCAACGCGUUAAGUGUUCCGCCUGGGGAGUACGCACGCAAGUGUGAAACUCAAAGGAAUUGACGGGGGCCCGCACAAGCGGUGGAGUAUGUGGUUUAAUUCGAUGCAACGCGAAGAACCUUACCAGGGUUUGACAUCCUGCGAAUCCCUUGGAAAGCGAGGGAGUGCCUUCGGGAACGCAGUGACAGGUGGUGCAUGGCUGUCGUCAGCUCGUGUCGUGAGAUGUUGGGUUAAGUCCCGCAACGAGCGCAACCCACGUCUUUAGUUGCCAGCAUUUAGUUGGGCACUCUAGAGAGACUGCCGGUGAUAAACCGGAGGAAGGUGUGGAUGACGUCAAGUCAUCAUGCCCCUUACAUCCUGGGCUACACACGUACUACAAUGCUACGGACAAAGGGCAGCAAACUCGCGAGAGCUAGCAAAUCCCAUAAACCGUGGCUCAGUUCAGAUCGUAGGCUGCAACUCGCCUACGUGAAGGAGGAAUCGCUAGUAAUCGCAGGUCAGCAUACUGCGGUGAAUACGUUCCCGGGCCUUGUACACACCGCCCGUCACACCAUGGAAGUUGGCCACGCCCGAAGUCGUUACUCCAACCCUUGUGGAGGAGGAUGCCGAAGGUGGGGCUGAUGACUGGGGUGAAGUCGUAACAAGGUAGCCGUACCGGAAGGUGCGGCUGGAUCACCUCCU